This is a long non-coding RNA of Lingula anatina, 542 nucleotides long. The record is from RefSeq and is a predicted model, not a curated record. NCBI's taxonomy places the organism in Eukaryota, Metazoa, Brachiopoda, Lingulata, Lingulida, Lingulidae.
AUCCUGUGGAGCCAGUUAUAUGGAACAGUACAAUUACACAACAAAUGUGGGUUCCAGCUCCAGUCUCCAUACAGCAUGGUGUCUUCUAGUUGAACAGAUUUUAACUGGCUGAACAUGGGGGGAAUGUAUUUUAUAAGACUGAAGCAGAUACUAAAAGGCAGCAACAGGAACAUCUUCAUCUCACCCAGUUGUGCAAGACACGGGAUGUGGCAAGUUUUAGGAUAAAUGAGACAGGGCAGCCAUUGUAAACAGCAAAUACACUUCUGGAAUUGUGUAAAGAGCUGCUGGCAGACCAAGAGGUCAGUUUUAUCCUGAUUGAGAGAGAGUGCUGCCAGAACCACCCAGAACAAGACCUCCAAACACAGCAGAUCCUGUGGAGCCAGUUAUAUGGAACAGUACAAUUACACAACAAAUGUGGGUUCCAGGUAACACAAAGAAUCCAUUUCCCCCAUAUGUAUGGAAACUAUAGAGGCAGGGUAUAUAAAGCAAGGAGAUUGUGUUGGACAAUACUCUAUCACUGAAGACAAAUAGACACAAUUUAA